Molecule: long non-coding RNA, 528 nt
Filed under: Homo sapiens (human)
Lineage: Eukaryota; Metazoa; Chordata; Mammalia; Primates; Hominidae
Description: non-protein coding lnc-CHST4-1:5
Source: RNAcentral
UCCGGAAUCCAGGAAGUGUUUGGAUAUUGGAAAAACAAAAACAAAAAAAAACCUUUGUUCUGUAAGACAGUAUAGAAAGUUGGGAGAAAGGUCUACUCCAGGAUCAAGGACCUCCUGAAAGGGUCUCGAGGACCCCAAUGGUUCCUGGACCACACUUUGAAAACUAUGGAUCUGAAAAUAAUUUAGGAUUGCAUUUUCCUGUAAUGCCGCGUCUUAGCAAUGUGACCUUGGCAGGGAGGAAGAGGCCAAGGUUUCAGAGCCUCAGGAAUGAGGAACAGCAGGAGGGAACUGGACCAACAGGACCCAAGGGAGAGUAUCAAAGGCAAAACAAAGGAAAAUGAGGACAACCCAAUACUCAGAAAAAAAAACGAGUAAUUCAUGGAUUCACAACGGGCAACAAACUAGAUGACUAUUAGGAAGAGAAGAGCAAACCUUAUGAUCUCAAAAUGAUUUCUUGUUCAUUUGCAUCCUCGCAUCAAUCUAGACUUUAAGAAAUAUGUGAUUUUUAAAUAAAUGGGUAUAUCUGCA